GCGGGUGUAGUGUAAUGGCAGCACGCAAGACUUCAGAUCUUGAUUCGGCACAUCUCCAGUGUGCAGGCGCGGGUUCGAUUCCCGUCACCCGCUCUA
Molecule: transfer RNA, 96 nt
Filed under: Prevotella sp. tf2-5
Lineage: Bacteria; Pseudomonadati; Bacteroidota; Bacteroidia; Bacteroidales; Prevotellaceae
Description: tRNA_SeC_TCA
Rfam family: tRNA
About the family: Transfer RNA (tRNA) molecules are approximately 80 nucleotides in length.
Source: RNAcentral